UUAAACGUGAGAGUUCGAUCCUGGCUCAGGAUGAACGCUGGCGGCGUGCCUAACACAUGCAAGUCGAACGGAGAUUUAACGCUGAUGAAGCUUCGGCAGAUUCUUGUUAAAUCUUAGUGGCGGACGGGUGAGUAACGCGUGGGCAACCUGCCUCAUACUGGGGGAUAACAGCUGGAAACGACUGUUAAUACCGCAUAAGCGCACGGUAUCGCAUGAUACAGUGUGAAAAACUCCGGUGGUAUGAGAUGGGCCCGCGUCAGAUUAGCCAGUUGGCAG
RNAcentral lists this ribosomal RNA (276 nucleotides) under Butyrivibrio sp. M55. RNAcentral's name for it is "16S rRNA. Bacterial SSU". It matches the Rfam family "Bacterial small subunit ribosomal RNA", at positions 1 to 255 of the family's 1533-position model. The record is from RNAcentral. Lineage: Bacteria; Bacillati; Bacillota; Clostridia; Lachnospirales; Lachnospiraceae.